CCUACGGGUGGCAGCAGUAGGGAAUAUUGGGCAAUGGGCGCAAGCCUGACCCAGCAACGCCGCGUGAAGGAAGAAGGCUUUCGGGUUGUAAACUUCUUUUAAGCGGGAAGAGCAGAAGACGGUACCUCUUGAAUAAGCCACGGCUAACUACGUGCCAGCAGCCGCGGUAAUACGGGGGGUGCAAGCGUGGUCCGGAAUCAUUGGGCGUAAGGAGUUCGUAGGCGGCACGUAAAGUCUGGUGUUAAAGGCAGAGGCUCAACUUCUGUACGGCACUGGAUACUUGCGAGCUAGAAUGCGGUAGAGGUAAAGGGAAUGCCUGGUGUAGCGGUGAAAUGCUUAGAUAUCAGGAGGAACAUCGGUGGCGUAAGCGCUUUACUGGGCCGUAAUUGACGCUGAGGAACGAAAGCCAGGGUAGCAAAUGGGAUUAGAUACCCCUGUAGUC
RNAcentral lists this ribosomal RNA (442 nucleotides) under uncultured bacterium. RNAcentral's name for it is "partial 16S ribosomal RNA". It matches the Rfam family "Bacterial small subunit ribosomal RNA", at positions 338 to 795 of the family's 1533-position model. The record is from RNAcentral.